Molecule: ribosomal RNA, 253 nt
Filed under: uncultured bacterium
Lineage: Bacteria
Description: partial 16S ribosomal RNA
Rfam family: Bacterial small subunit ribosomal RNA
Source: RNAcentral
UACGUAGGGACCAAGCGUUGUUCGGAUUUACUGGGCGUAAAGGGCGCGUAGGCGGCAAUUCAAGUCAUCUGUGAAAUCUCCGAGCUUAACUUGGAAACUGCCAUUGACACUAUCAGUCUUGAAUAUUGUGGAGGUCAGCGGAAUAUGUCAUGUAGCGGUGAAAUGCUUAGAUAUGACAUAGAACACCAAUUGCGAAGGCAGCUGGCUACACAUAUAUUGACACUGAGGCACGAAAGCGUGGGGAUCAAACAGG